RNAcentral lists this ribosomal RNA (459 nucleotides) under uncultured bacterium. RNAcentral's name for it is "bacterial SSU rRNA". It matches the Rfam family "Bacterial small subunit ribosomal RNA", at positions 340 to 789 of the family's 1533-position model. The record is from RNAcentral.
UACGGGAGGCAGCAGUGGGGAAUAUUGCACAAUGGGCGAAAGCCUGAUGCAGCUAUGCCGCGUGUAUGAAGAAGGCCUUAGGGUUGUAAAGUACUUUCAUCGGGGAGGAAAAAACAAAACUAAUAAUUUUAUUUCUUGACGUUACCCGAAAAAGAAGCACCGGCUAACUCCGUGCCAGCAGCCGCGGUAAUACGGAGGGUGCUAGCGUUAAUCAGAAUUACUGGGCGUAAAGAGCACGUAGGUGGUUUUUUUAAAGUCAGAUGUGAAAUCCCUGGGCUUAACCUGGAACUGCAUUUUGAAACUGAAAUACUAGAGUAUCGUAGAGGGAGGUAGAAUUCUAGGUGUAGCGGUGAAAUGCGUAGAUAUCUGGAGGAAUACCUGUGGCGAAAGCGGCCUCCUAAACGAAUACUGACACUGAGGUGCGAAAGCGUGGGGAGCAAACAGGGAUUAGAUACCCGU